This is a long non-coding RNA of Xenia sp. Carnegie-2017, 103 nucleotides long. RefSeq lists it as uncharacterized. The record is from RefSeq and is a predicted model, not a curated record. Lineage: Eukaryota; Metazoa; Cnidaria; Anthozoa; Malacalcyonacea; Xeniidae. The transcript is spliced from 2 exons.
CAUGAGUACAAACUUAACAGCCUUGAACUUCGAUCAACACAGGAAUCUAUCUUCAAACGAAAUUAACGAAACAGAAUUUACAAGAAAAGUAAAAUACAACCCA